CGAACCCGGAAGUUAAGCCCUUCAGCGCCGAUGGUACUGCAUGGGAGACUGUGUGGGAGAGUAGGACGCCGCCGGAC
This 77-nucleotide ribosomal RNA is filed under the name Actinomadura lepetitiana. The record is from RNAcentral. Lineage: Bacteria; Bacillati; Actinomycetota; Actinomycetes; Streptosporangiales; Thermomonosporaceae.